This 2072-nucleotide long non-coding RNA is filed under the name Helianthus annuus (common sunflower). RNAcentral's name for it is "hypothetical non coding rna". Lineage: Eukaryota; Viridiplantae; Streptophyta; Magnoliopsida; Asterales; Asteraceae. The record is from RNAcentral.
UGGGCCUUUUUCUAACCCGUCAGAGCUUUUCAGAAUUCCUAGGGUUUUGAACAAAUUAACCUCUCCCCAAAAUUCACAGUCACGUUUCACAUCUCCCAGCAGGGCUUAGCAAUUCUCAGCUUUUUGAUUUUGAAGAACUGAUCCUGCUUUCUUGAUUGCCAUAAAUACAGGUUUUGGGUUUAGCGGGUUGGCUUCUUCGAGUUUUCAGAGGUGGAAAUGUAACCCGAUAACCGUACCAUUCUAGAUUCGGGUUCAAUCAUCUUUUUUUGAUUUUCUGGCCUACUCCAUUCCGCCUGUAAGAUGUUUCGGGUCGUCGUUCUUCCUCAUUCAAUUUGGUACACUUCAAGAGCUUGGACCUAAAUGAUCUAGUUGGUGGUACAGAGAUUGGACCAGAAUGGUGUAAGGUAAACGUUCAAGUACAAAUAAAAAAAGAUGAAAACUUGGUAAGACCAUAUGGUUUAUUUUCUACAAUUCAAGAUUGUAUUGGUGCAUCCAUCGCAUGGCCCUAUCCAUUCAUCUCGGUAGUCUAUGAGGAUUGAGGACACAUGAUGACUAAAGAUUUUAUGCUUCUUAUUUCUUUAAUUGCUUUUAAUUUCUUUGUUAAAUGUUAAGACUUUAUGUUAGAUAAUGUUAUAACUUAUUUAUGGUUAGUGUUUUUGUUAAGAACAUGCUUAUUUGAAGUAUAAUGAUUCUUUCAUUAGUUGAUGUUAUACAAUAACUAUUAGGAUGUUAUAUGUUGAAGGUCUGUUUAUAAAUUUGGUUUUAUAAUCUUAUUUGGGAUAUUAAGACCAUUUUCUUGAUAUUAAAAUAGCUAUAACGUUACAUCAUAAGGGUCUUAUAAAUUAAUUUUAAGGACGCUUGUAUGUGUAUCCAAAAAUUAAAAGUAGAUAAUCACAUAUUAGAACAUUGUAAAAGUGUCCUAAUAUGUUCUUUUUAGGACGCUAUUUAAGUUGUCUAUAGACAUACUAUGCGACCAUAAAAUUGGUUUCAUAAUCUUAUUUGGUAUAUUAGGACCCUUUUCUUGGUACUAAAUUAGCCAUAAUGUUACAUCAUAAGGGUCCUAUCAAUUAAUUUCUAAGGACGCUUGUAAGUGUAUCAAAAGAUUAAAAGUAUUUAAGCACAUGUUAGAACAUCGUAAAAGUGUCCUAAUAUGUUUUUAUUAGGACACUAUUUUUGGUUGUUCAAAGACAUAUUACGCGACCUUAAAAUUGGUUUCAUAAUCUAAUUUGAGAUGUUAGGACGCUUUUUUAGUUCUGAGACUUAUUACGACCCCUUUACAUGAAACGCUUUUACCGUUGGUCCUAUUAAAUGAAAGGUCCUAUAAAAUAGCAUUUUAGGACGCUUUUGCGCGUACUAAAAACCCAGUUUUCUUGUAGUGACAUUAGUUACUGUUUUACUAAUAGGAAUUUACCCAUCUUUAAGUAAAAUUGUGUUCCUAUUUAACUUACAAGUUUUUUUAAAUGGUUUAAUUGUUGUAGAAUAAUAAUUAUUAUGGAGGAUGAUUUAAAUAAAAAAAAGUGUGUCAUUGAUAUAUAUCCAAAAACAAAUUUACUACACUUAUUUUUUUAGAAAGUGUAAUGUUCUUGAAUUGACAGCAAUAUAUAUUUAUAGUGUUAUUUUUUUUUUGGUAAACUAAAAGAUUAAAAGGGUUUUUAUUAAAUACCAAAGACGUCAACUUUCAACACAAGUUUAUUAGGACUAUAUUUAACAUAUGAAUUUUAACAAAUCGCUAUGUUAUAUAUUUUUUUCAUAUCUAGGAUAAACACUCUCGUUCGUUCUCUUGGAUUCCCGUUUACUCAUGCACCACCGUUUGCCCAUAUAGGGUAACCGCGGUGUUCCAUCCUCUUAAACUCGUACACUCGUCAACACUUGGAUAAUCGGAAGACUUAGCAAUUAUGUUGAUGAUGACGAUGCUAUGAAAAGAAGUAGCGUUGAUGCCUAGAUACACAUAUAGACGUUUAGGUUUAAUAUGUUGUAUCAAUUUUGAUUAUGUUGUUACGUAUUUCCCUUGAACAUGUUGUUAUUUGAAUUUCCUUGUAUGUUUGGCAAUUUAUCUAUGAAAUGAAAUCGGU